Molecule: ribosomal RNA, 324 nt
Filed under: Tetragnatha sp. ATOL_ARAGH000027
Lineage: Eukaryota; Metazoa; Arthropoda; Arachnida; Araneae; Tetragnathidae
Description: partial 12S ribosomal RNA
Source: RNAcentral
ACUAACCUGAAUGGGUAGUAUUUCUAAAACAAACCUCUGUAUAAUGGUGGCAUUCCAUUUUAAUAGAGGAAUAUGUUUAAUAAUCGAUAUUACACGAUUAAUUUCACUUAAAUUAAAAUUUUAUAUACCUCCGUCUUGAAUAAACUAAAGCAUUUUAUUCAAAACAAUAUACUAAAACCUUAGGUAAAGGUGUAAACUAAGUUUAAGAUAAAAUGUAUUACAAUAAAAUAAAUUUAAGGAUUACUUUUUCAUAAAAUUUAUAAAAAGGGAUUUAUAAGUAUUAUUUUAUUUAAUAUAUAAAUUUGAAUAAAAAAAUAAAUGUGC